AGUUUGAUCCUGGCUCAGGAUGAACGCUAGCUACAGGCUUAACACAUGCAAGUCGAGGGGAAACGAUAUUGGAAGCUUGCUUCCGAUAGGCGUCGACCGGCGCACGGGUGAGUAACGCGUAUCCAACCUGCCCAUCACUUGGGGAUAACCUUGCGAAAGUAAGACUAAUACCCAAUGACGUCUCUAGAAGACAUCUGAAGGAGAUUAAAGAUUUAUCGGUGAUGGAUGGGGAUGCGUCUGAUUAGCUUGUUGGCGGGGUAACGGCCCACCAAGGCGACGAUCAGUAGGGGUUCUGAGAGGAAGGUCCCCCACAUUGGAACUGAGACACGGUCCAAACUCCUACGGGAGGCAGCAGUGAGGAAUAUUGGUCAAUGGACGAGAGUCUGAACCAGCCAAGUAGCGUGCAGGAUGACGGCCCUAUGGGUUGUAAACUGCUUUUAUAAGGGAAUAAAGUGAGUCUCGUGAGACUUUUUGCAUGUACCUUAUGAAUAAGGACCGGCUAAUUCCGUGCCAGCAGCCGCGGUAAUACGGAAGGUCCGGGCGUUAUCCGGAUUUAUUGGGUUUAAAGGGAGCGUAGGCCGGAGAUUAAGCGUGUUGUGAAAUGUAGAUGCUCAACAUCUGCACUGCAGCGCGAACUGGUUUCCUUGAGUACGCACAAAGUGGGCGGAAUUCGUGGUGUAGCGGUGAAAUGCUUAGAUAUCACGAAGAACUCCGAUUGCGAAGGCAGCUCACUGGAGCGCAACUGACGCUGAAGCUCGAAAGUGCGGGUAUCGAACAGGAUUAGAUACCCUGGUAGUCCGCACGGUAAACGAUGGAUGCCCGCUGUUGGUCUGAAUAGGUCAGCGGCCAAGCGAAAGCAUUAAGCAUCCCACCUGGGGAGUACGCCGGCAACGGUGAAACUCAAAGGAAUUGACGGAAGGG
This 921-nucleotide ribosomal RNA is filed under the name uncultured bacterium. Its description in RNAcentral is "bacterial SSU rRNA". It matches the Rfam family "Bacterial small subunit ribosomal RNA", at positions 10 to 921 of the family's 1533-position model. The record is from RNAcentral.